RNAcentral lists this ribosomal RNA (256 nucleotides) under uncultured bacterium. RNAcentral's name for it is "partial 16S ribosomal RNA". It matches the Rfam family "Bacterial small subunit ribosomal RNA", at positions 524 to 776 of the family's 1533-position model. The record is from RNAcentral.
UACAGAGGUCUCAAGCGUUGUUCGGAUUCAUUGGGCGUAAAGGGUGCGUAGGCGGCGCGGUAAGUCGGAUGUGAAAUCUCGGGCUUAACUCCGAAACUGCAUUCGAUACUGCCGUGCUUGAGGACUGGAGAGGAGACUGGAAUUUACGGUGUAGCGGUGAAAUGCGUAGAUAUCGUAAGGAAGACCCAGUGGCGGAAGGCGGGUCUCUGGACAGUUCCCUGACGCUGAGGCGACGAAGGCCAGGGGAGCAAACGGG